ACGGCUCAGUAACACGUGGAUAACCUGCCCUUGGGUCCGGCAUAACCCCGGGAAACUGGGGAUAAUUCCGGAUAACGCACAUAUGCUGGAAUGCUUUAUGCGUAAAAUGGAUUCGUCUGCCCAAGGAUGGGUCUGCGGCCUAUCAGGUAGUAGUGGGUGUAAUGUACCUACUAGCCUACGACGGGUACGGGUUGUGAGAGCAAGAGCCCGGAGAUGGAUUCUGAGACAUGAAUCCAGGCCCUACGGGGCGCAGCAGGCGCGAAAACUUUACAAUGCGGGAAACCGUGAUAAGGGGACACCGAGUGCCAGCAUCAUAUGCUGGCUGUCCGGGUGUGUAAAAUACACCUGUUAGCAAGGGCCGGGCAAGACCGGUGCCAGCCGCCGCGGUAACACCGGCGGCCCGAGUGGUGAUCGUGAUUAUUGGGUCUAAAGGGUCCGUAGCCGGUUUGGUCAGUCCUCCGGGAAAUCUGACAGCUCAACUGUUAGGCUUUCGGAGGAUACUGCCAGACUUGGAACCGGGAGAGGUAAGAGGUACUACAGGGGUAGGAGUGAAAUCUUGUAAUCCCUGUGGGACCACCUGUGGCGAAGGCGUCUUACCAGAACGGGUUCGACGGUGAGGGACGAAAGCUGGGGGCACGAACCGGAUUAGAUACCCGGGUAGUCCCAGCCGUAAACGAUGCUCGCUAGGUGUCAGGCAUGGCGCGACCGUGUCUGGUGCCGCAGGGAAGCCGUGAAGCGAGCCACCUGGGAAGUACGGCCGCAAGGCUGAAACUUAAAGGAAUUGGCGGGGGAGCAC
RNAcentral lists this ribosomal RNA (796 nucleotides) under uncultured Methanosarcinaceae archaeon. RNAcentral describes it as "bacterial SSU rRNA". It matches the Rfam family "Archaeal small subunit ribosomal RNA", at positions 85 to 879 of the family's 1478-position model. The record is from RNAcentral. Lineage: Archaea; Methanobacteriati; Methanobacteriota; Methanomicrobia; Methanosarcinales; Methanosarcinaceae.